AAUGCUUGUUGGACCAUCAAAGGCACUUUUCAUGGAUGAAAUAUCGACUGGAUUGGACAGUUCCACGACAUAUUCCAUCGUGAAUUCCCUAAGGCAAUCUGUUCAAAUCUUGAAGGGAACUGCUGUUAUUUCUCUGUUGCAGCCUGCCCCCGAGACCUACAACUUGUUUGAUGAUAUCAUUCUGAUAUCGGAUGGGUACAU
Molecule: unclassified non-coding RNA, 201 nt
Filed under: Hevea brasiliensis (rubber tree)
Lineage: Eukaryota; Viridiplantae; Streptophyta; Magnoliopsida; Malpighiales; Euphorbiaceae
Source: RNAcentral